Molecule: RNA transcript, 2384 nt
Organism: Helianthus annuus (common sunflower)
Lineage: Eukaryota; Viridiplantae; Streptophyta; Magnoliopsida; Asterales; Asteraceae
Gene name: inactive TPR repeat-containing thioredoxin TTL3
Exons: 2
Source: RefSeq, a predicted model, not a curated record
CAAUAAAUACCUUCUAUCGAAACCCUAGCCACAAUCUUCCCCUUCUCCCUUCUGGUGUGCUCCUUCUGAUACACUCUUUCAUCGAAACCCUAGCCACGUUCAAGCAUUGCAUCCCUCAUUCUCAUGGGUAACGGCGAUUAUAAUAACAGGAUAUUUUCUGAGGCUUUGGCACUCUAUGAUGCUGUGAUUUCAAUUGAUCCAGAGAAGGCAUCAUACAAAAGCAACAAAAGCGCGACAUUAACCAGUUUGGGAAGGCUUCUAGAAGCGGUAUUUGAAGCCAGAGAAGCAAUCAGACUAGAACCGUUCUAUCAAAGGGCUCACAACCGUUUAGCCACAAGUACAACGGGUAAUAAACUUACAAACCCUAGAUUAUAUAAAACUUUAUUGAUUGAUAGAUUGAUUUUUUACAUAAGUUUGCUUUAGGAUGUAGAGUAUCCCCACCAGAUGUUUUAAAAGUCAUUAUUUAUGUUGAACUUUUCAUUUUAAAGCUUUUUUUGUCAUCAUUUUUACUGAUUUCCGACUGAAAAUAGAAUUGGGACUUGGUAUUUUUAUUUUGAUUAGUUUUUUUUAUUAGUUUAUCAACUUUAGUUUAAAGAGUCUGCCUACUGGUGUUUAAAAGUCACUAGUUAUGUUAACACUAAUGAAGGAAUCCUCAGAGAUACGAGGCUAUCCGAUUGAAGAGUUGGCAAAGAGUAGUUCGUUUUUUAGAUGUAGCCUACCUUCUAAUUUUGAAUAGUUCGCUGCUGAUUACGAAAGGGGGAUCUACAUCUUGUCGACCUACAACCCGCUCUAUCAAAGGCCUUGAACAAAAAUUUGCAGGUUUGAUAUUAGAAUUUUAUAAUAUGAAUGCAUCUAUUUCUUGAUCGUUUCAAGAAUGAUGAGAAUACUAAGGCUUCAUUUAAAAAUGGUAAAGGUAUAGAAGUUUUGAAAUUUGUAGUUCAUUACAAAUUUGUCUCGUAUCGUUCAGUUAUAUCUUUCUUUUUGCAGGGUUUUACAGCCAAAAAAUUGAAUCCGUCAGCGAUUGAACAAAAGGCAUCAUUAGAAUUAGUAAUAAGUGUCGACGAGUAGGUUAAUAAUCUUCCUGUUGAAUAUUAUUGAUUGGAGGUUAGGAAAUAUUACUUACAUGUUAAGAGAGCCCAACUAUUCAACCUUUUUAUUCACCGUUUUAUUAAGUAGGAGUGAUUCUUCAUUUCUUUUAAAACUUAAGAAAUUGUUAUAUCUCAGAUUGAAUGAUUUGAACUAUCCGACGAGUCCAAAAUGGUGCAGGUAUUUUGGUUGUUUCAUCAAGCGAGGAGGACCUAAUUAGCAUGUUGUGGAUCUUUUUUUAACACAUACAUGUUACGCCCAGUUCUGAAUGAUAUUCCAAAAUAUUAUAUUUUGGUCCACUAUAAUCAACAUGGAUCCCUAUAGAGUAUCUUCACUCUUUAAUGCCAGUUUUUCAUGAUAUUCAAAGAAACAAAUAUUUAUGUUAUGUCUUCAAAUGCGUUAAUUGGGGGAGCUUUACUCCAUACGUCAUAUUAAUGUACUCAUUUUUUGUUGUUGAAAAUAAUGCACAAGAGGUGUUUGUUGAAAUGGUUCAAAGAUACACACACACACACACACACAUAUAUACAGGUUUUGUUUAUGUAGUUUUGUAUGGAUUAAUUUGUUGACUGUUACUUGAAAUGUAGUUUGGUAUUCGGGUACCAAAGUUUAAAUUAGGUUAGUUUUUCACUGCCUAGCAAGAAUUGAUAUUAUCUGUUUCAUUUGAAAUGAUGCAUGAUAUAUUAGCAUAUGAAUAGUGAAAAAAUCUGACUUUUUGUAGCUACAAUUAAAAUGAUAUCCUGAAAUUUGUUUUAAUUUUCCUUUGUGCAGCCUGGAAAACUACUGAAACAUUACAGACUCUAUUUUGUUACGUAUUUGCUAGAAAAGAAACCAAGUUUGCUGCAAUAACAAAAAAGGAGAAAUAACAAGUCCAGGUUCAAGAGCAUGAGGAUAACAACAAAAAGAAAGAAGACCGGGCGACGAAAUCUGAGAAAGAAACAACCUCUGAUAAGUGCUUCCACGACGUAUAAUAUUGCAGCCUCAGUUGCUUCUUAUUUGCAUUUUCAAAGAAAGAACAUUAUUCCUUUCAAAUCUUAAUCUUCUGAAAACAACUUUGGUGAAGUUAGUAUUCAAGCAAUCACAAUGCAUCGUAACAUUGUGCCCUGAGCCUUUUCUUGCAAAUAUCCAAAUCGUGUAGCUGAGCUUCUUAAAGUAGUUAAUGGGAAUUUCCGAAAUCACCCCUUCCUUGAUAACCAUAGAAAAAUUAAUAAAACUUUGAUAUUCUUGAGGGUUGUCGUUGUAGUAUUAUUCAAACAAUUUGUAAAAUUGUUUGUUUCUGUGGUAGAAUUUGUUGUAUGCUC